Molecule: non-coding RNA, 95 nt
Organism: Acanthosepion pharaonis
Lineage: Eukaryota; Metazoa; Mollusca; Cephalopoda; Sepiida; Sepiidae
Source: the annotation of a GenBank genome assembly
UUGAUACACCAGUUCUCGUAAGAUUACAGAAGUUAAGCAACGUCGAGCCUGAUCUGUACCUAGAUGAGUGACAACUUGGGAAUAUUAGGUUCUGU